AACGAACGCUGGCGGCAUGCUUAACACAUGCAAGUCGAACGGUGCUUUCGGGCACAGUGGCGCACGGGUGAGUAUCGCGUGGGAACCUGCCUUGGAGUACGGAAUAACCGCGGGAAACUGCGGCUAAUACCGUAUAUUGCCUUCGGUGAAGAUUAUCGCUCAGAGGGCCCGCGUCCGAUUAGCUAGUUGGUGAGGUAACGGCUCACCAAGGCGACGAUCGGUAGCUGGUCNGAGAGGAUGAUCAGCCACACUGGGACUGAGACACGGCCCA
This 271-nucleotide ribosomal RNA is filed under the name uncultured bacterium. Its description in RNAcentral is "partial 16S ribosomal RNA". It matches the Rfam family "Bacterial small subunit ribosomal RNA", at positions 29 to 333 of the family's 1533-position model. The record is from RNAcentral.